Molecule: ribosomal RNA, 450 nt
Filed under: uncultured bacterium
Lineage: Bacteria
Description: bacterial SSU rRNA
Rfam family: Bacterial small subunit ribosomal RNA
Source: RNAcentral
AACGAACGCUGGCGGCAUGCCUAACACAAGCAAGUCGAACGAGACCUUCGGGUCUAGUGGCGCACGGGUGCGUAACGCGUGGGAAUCUGCCCUUCGGUUCGGAACAACAGUUAGAAAUGACUGCUAAUACCGGAUAAUGACGUAAGUCCAAAGAUUUAUCGCCGAAGGAUGAGCCCGCGUAAGAUUAGGUAGUUGGUGGGGUAAUGGCCUACCAAGCCGACGAUCUUUAGCUGGUCUGAGAGGAUGAUCAGCCACACUGGGACUGAGACACGGCCCAGACUCCUACGGGAGGCAGCAGUGGGGAAUAUUGGACAAUGGGCGAAAGCCUGAUCCAGCAAUGCCGCGUGAGUGAUGAAGGCCUUAGGGUUGUAAGACUCUUUUACCAGGGAUGAUAAUGACAGUACCUGGAGAAUAAGCUCCGGCUAACUCCGUGCCAGCAGCCGCGGUAAU